RNAcentral lists this ribosomal RNA (508 nucleotides) under Curvularia pallescens. Its description in RNAcentral is "eukaryotic LSU rRNA". The stretch from base 123 to 276 matches the Rfam family "5.8S ribosomal RNA". Lineage: Eukaryota; Fungi; Ascomycota; Dothideomycetes; Pleosporales; Pleosporaceae. The record is from RNAcentral.
CACCCUUGUCUUUUGCGCACUUGUUGUUUCCUGGGCGGGUUCGCCCGCCGCCAGGACCACACCAUAAACCUUUUUUUAUGCAGUUGCAAUCAGCGUCAGUACAACAAAUGUAAAUCAUUUACAACUUUCAACAACGGAUCUCUUGGUUCUGGCAUCGAUGAAGAACGCAGCGAAAUGCGAUACGUAGUGUGAAUUGCAGAAUUCAGUGAAUCAUCGAAUCUUUGAACGCACAUUGCGCCCUUUGGUAUUCCAAAGGGCAUGCCUGUUCGAGCGUCAUUUGUACCCUCAAGCUUUGCUUGGUGUUGGGCGUCUUGUCUUUUGGCUCUUUGCCCAAAGACUCGCCUCAAAACGAUUGGCAGCCGGCCUACUGGUUUCGCAGCGCAGCACAUUUUUGCGCUUGCAAUCAGCAAAAGAGGACGGCACUCCAUCAAGACUCCUUCUCACGUUUGACCUCGGAUCAGGUAGGGAUACCCGCUGAACUUAAGCAUAUCAAUAAGGCGGAGGUCUA